RNAcentral lists this ribosomal RNA (254 nucleotides) under uncultured bacterium. RNAcentral describes it as "partial 16S ribosomal RNA". It matches the Rfam family "Bacterial small subunit ribosomal RNA", at positions 524 to 776 of the family's 1533-position model. The record is from RNAcentral.
UACGUAGGUGGCAAGCGUUUGUCCGGAAUUAUUGGGCGUAAAGCGCGCGCAGGCGGCCUCUUAAGUCUGAUGUGAAAGCCCCCGGCUCAACCGGGGAGGGCCAUUGGAAACUGGGAGGCUUGAGUAUAGGAGAGAAGAGUGGAAUUCCACGUGUAGCGGUGAAAUGCGUAGAGAUGUGGAGGAACACCAGUGGCGAAGGCGACUCUUUGGCCUAUAACUGACGCUGAGGCGCGAAAGCGUGGGGAGCAAACAGG